This 431-nucleotide ribosomal RNA is filed under the name uncultured bacterium. RNAcentral describes it as "partial 16S ribosomal RNA". It matches the Rfam family "Bacterial small subunit ribosomal RNA", at positions 338 to 795 of the family's 1533-position model. The record is from RNAcentral.
CCUACGGGGGGCAGCAGUAGGGAAUUUUCCACAAUGGACGAAAGUCUGAUGGAGCAACGCCGCGUGCAGGAGGAAGGCCUUCGGGUCGUAAACUGCUUUUAUUUGUGACGCAGUAGCAAAUGAAUAAGGAUCGGCUAACUCCGUGCCAGCAGCCGCGGUCAUACGGGGGAUCCAAGCGUUAUCCGGAAUUACUGGGCGUAAAGAGUGCGUAGGUGGCAAUCUAAGUUUCUGUUUAAAUAUCAAGGCUCAACCUUGGGAAAGGCAGGAAAACUGGAUAGCUUGAGUAUGGGAGAGGUAGAUGGAAUUUCUAGUGUAGGAGUGAAAUCCGUAGAUAUUAGAAGGAACACCGAUGGCGUAGGCAGUCUACUGGCCUUACUGACACUAAGGCACGAAAGCGUGGGGAGCGAACGGGAUUAGAUACCCUUGUAGUC